AUGAAGGAAUUGUUCACCACCUGGGACGCAAUGCUACUUCUAUCCUGGCGACUGAAAAAAGUUAGUGGGACUGAACCAGAAGCAAAAUGGACAAAGCCUGAAGUCAGAUCUGUGAAACUGAAUGUAUAUGCGGCCUUUCAUAUUGACGAGGGAAGUGGAGCUACAGCAGCAGUUAUCCGUGAUCAUAGGGGAAAUUUUCUGGCGCCACAAUGUUCAUUUGUUCCAUUUGCUGCAGAUGCUUGUACCACAGAAGCCAUGGCGAUGAGAGAUGGGCUAGUUCUUGCCAACUCUCUUGGUUUCAACACUGUUGAGGCCGAAUGA
Molecule: ribosomal RNA, 321 nt
Filed under: Triticum aestivum (bread wheat)
Lineage: Eukaryota; Viridiplantae; Streptophyta; Magnoliopsida; Poales; Poaceae
Description: partial small subunit ribosomal RNA
Source: RNAcentral